This 497-nucleotide ribosomal RNA is filed under the name uncultured bacterium. Its description in RNAcentral is "partial 16S ribosomal RNA". It matches the Rfam family "Bacterial small subunit ribosomal RNA", at positions 28 to 507 of the family's 1533-position model. The record is from RNAcentral.
GAUGAACGCUGGCGGCGUGCCUAAUACAUGCAAGUCGAGCGAACGGACGAGAGGCUUGCUUCUCUGAUGUUAGCGGCGGACGGGUGAGUAACACGUGGAUAACCUACCUAUAAGACUGGGAUAACUUCGGGAAACCGGAGCUAAUACCGGAUAAUAUUUUGAACCGCAUGGUUCAAAAGUGAAAGACGGUCUUGCUGUCACUUAUAGAUGGAUCCGCGCUGCAUUAGCUAGUUGGUAAGGUAACGGCUUACCAAGGCAACGAUGCAUAGCCGACCUAAGAGGGUGAUCGGCCACACUGGAACUGAGACACGGUCCAGACUCCUACGGGAGGCAGCAGUAGGGAAUCUUCCGCAAUGGGCGAAAGCCUGACGGAGCAACGCCGCGUGAGUGAUGAAGGUCUUCGGAUCGUAAAACUCUGUUAUUAGGGAAGAACAUAUGUGUAAGUAACUGUGCACAUCUUGACGGUACCUAAUCAGAAAGCCACGGCUAACUACGUG